CGCGGCCUAUCAGCUUGUUGGUGGGGUAAUGGCUCACCAAGGCGACGACGGGUAGCCGGCCUGAGAGGGUGACCGGCCACACUGGGACUGAGACACGGCCCAGACUCCUACGGGAGGCAGCAGUGGGGAAUAUUGCACAAUGGGCGCAAGCCUGAUGCAGCGACGCCGCGUGAGGGAUGACGGCCUUCGGGUUGUAAACCUCUUUCAGUAGGGAAGAAGCGAAAGUGACGGUACCUGCAGAAGAAGCGCCGGCUAACUACGUGCCAGCAGCCGCGGUAAUGCGUAGGGCGCAAGCGUUAUCCGGAAUUAUUGGGCGUAAAGAGCUCGUAGGUGGUUUGCCGCGUCUGCCGUGAAAGUCCGGGGCUCAACUCCGGAUCUGCGGUGGGUACGGGCAGGCUAGAGUGAUGUAGGGGAGACUGGAAUUCCUGGUGUAGCGGUGAAAUGCGCAGAUAUCAGGAGGAACACCGAUGGCGAAGGCAGGUCUCUGGGCAUUAACUGACGCUGAGGAGCGAAAGCAUGGGGAGCGAACAGGAUUAGAUACCCUGGUAGUCCACACCGUAAACGUUGGGCGCUAGGUGUGGGGCCUAUUCCAUGGGUUCCGUGCCGCAGCUAACGCAUUAAGCGCCCCGCCUGGGGAGUACGG
RNAcentral lists this ribosomal RNA (643 nucleotides) under uncultured Actinomycetes bacterium. RNAcentral's name for it is "bacterial SSU rRNA". It matches the Rfam family "Bacterial small subunit ribosomal RNA", at positions 232 to 885 of the family's 1533-position model. The record is from RNAcentral. Lineage: Bacteria; Bacillati; Actinomycetota; Actinomycetes.